UACGUAGGGGGCUAGCGUUGUCCGGAAUCAUUGGGCGUAAAGCGCGUGUAGGCGGCCCGAUAAGUCCGCUGUGAAAGUCCAGGGCUCAACCCUGGGAUGCCGGUGGAUACUGUCGGGCUCGAGUCCGGAAGAGGCGAGUGGAAUUCCUGGUGUAGCGGUGAAAUGCGCAGAUAUCAGGAGGAACACCAAUUGCGAAGGCAGCUCGCUGGGACGUAACUGACGCUGAGACGCGAAAGCGUGGGGAGCAAACAGG
Molecule: ribosomal RNA, 253 nt
Filed under: uncultured bacterium
Lineage: Bacteria
Description: partial 16S ribosomal RNA
Rfam family: Bacterial small subunit ribosomal RNA
Source: RNAcentral